This 5416-nucleotide long non-coding RNA is filed under the name Hordeum vulgare. RNAcentral describes it as "long non-coding RNA (HVUL_LNC011677)". Lineage: Eukaryota; Viridiplantae; Streptophyta; Magnoliopsida; Poales; Poaceae. The record is from RNAcentral.
AACCUAGAACUUGAACCCUUAAUAACCAUCUAGCCAUAGAUUGAUUCGCGCCUUGUCAUGCCCAUUCAAUCAUAGACUGAUUUGCGCCUUAGCUUGUCCCCUAGCGAACAAUCAGCGAUGGGGAGACGUUCACUAGGAGUUCCACCACCCUGCGAACAUUAUAGAAACGUUCGGUGGAGAUUUCCUCCGAGCUAUUUUUUUAACAUAGUACAGACGCAAGCGUUCAUAUACACGUGCAUAUACUCAUUAUUAUGAACGUACACACGCACAUCCUAUCACUAUGAGCAUCCCCGAAAGACUGAGCUAAUGUACCAUCUUGAAAUUUACAAAGUCACCAUAGACACCUCGUCGUCGACGGGAACAUCUCCUCCCACUGAAUGCGCAUCGCCAAAAAUCCUGAAAUAAAUUCAGAAAUAAAUGCAAGCAUCAAGAUUUGAACUCUCGUGGGCUGGGGAUAUAUACCACAAUCCCUUGUAAGCAUCCAACCCAUGUUGGUUCGCAGCCGCCCCCUAGCUAAUGGGUCUGUUGUUUAUGCCAAAAAUUUGUAUGGCAUAAAAAAGUUAAAGAAUAUUCUUACUUUUCGUACGUCAAAACUUUUGAUAUAUUCAUUUGCAAUUAUGGUCGUACGACGAACAUAAAAAAUAAUAAAAAAUACAUCCAAAUCUGACCAUCUAGACUACAUGUACCGAAGCAAGCAAAAGGCACGCCGUCAUCAUCGCCCCUCCCUCGUCAGAGCUAGGCAAAACUUGUUGUAGUAGACAAUCAGAAAUCUAUCGUGUUAAGGCCUCAUAGGACCACUGCACCAGAACAACAACCACCAUAGAUGAAGAGUCGCAUAGAUAGAAAGGAUCCAAUCAAAAGACACACGAACCUAGCCGAACGAAGAACAGAUCUGAGUAGACCCACCAAACACAAUAACCGGUCGAGUCCCACAAGAUCCACCAACGACACACCUUCACACGCACUCCGACGAUGCUAGACACACCACCAAAAUGGGGACUAGACAGGGAAAACUUUACUACAUCUACACGGAGCCAUCACAAUGUCGUCUUCCUAAGUAUGACACAAGCCCUAACUAAACCAAAAGAAACAACUAAAAACGGAGUCCUCCCACCAGCAAGGGCCUGGAUCCACCGCGUCCCCUGAUACGUCCAUUUUAGAUCAUGAUUUUCUAUUAAUAUUUAUGUUAUUAUUAUCCAUUCUUCCACAUUAUCAUACAAUUCGUAUGCCGCUUCUCUCUGAAUUUACGAGGUACAUCAUAAAGAGGAAAAUUGCCGUAAACUAGAAUUCUGGGCCUAAAAAUCAAGAGAAAGGCUGAAAAAUCACUGGACUCCAAAUGGCCUGAAACUUCAUGGCGAUUUUUUGUGGAAUAUAUGUGAAUUAUUGGACCAAAAAAAAUUCCAGAGGGGGGCCACCUGCUGGCCACAAUCCAUCAGGGCACGCCCCACCCCCGGGCACGCCCUAUUAUCUUGCGGGCCCCUCACAGGUCCCCAGGACUCCCUCUUCUCUUAUAAGGUGUGUUCAGACCUAGAAAAAAUCAAGAAGAUACUUUCGUGAUGAAGCACUGUCGUCUCAAGGUAGAAACCUGGGCAUAGGCCCUUUUGCUCUCCGGCAGAGCGAUUCUGCCAGGGAAACUUCUCUCCGAGAGGGUGAGAUCGAAGCCAUCGUCAUCACCAACGCUUACAGCCUCAUGGGAGGACCAAUCCUUAUCAACAUCUUCACCAGCACCAUCCCAUCGCAAACCCUAGUUCAUCUCUUAUAUUCAAUCUUUGUCUCAAAACCUCAGAUUGGUAUAUGUGGGUUACUAGUAGUGUUGAUUACAUCUCAUAGUUGAUGCAUAUUGGCUUACUUGGUGGAAGAUAUUAUGUUCAUAUCCUUAUUUAUCAUUAUUACACCUCUCAUCCUGAACAUGUUGAUGAUGUGUGAGUAGUUACUUUUGUUCCCGAGGACAUGAGAGAAGUCUUAUUAUAAGUAAUCAUAUGAAUUUGGUAUUCGUUCGAUAUUUUGAUGAUAUGUAUGUUUGUGCUUCUCUUAGUGGUGUCGUGUGAAUGUCGACUACAUGACACUUCACCAUGUAUAUACCAAAUUGUAGGAGAAAUUGUAUAUAUAUAUAUAUAUAUGUAUGGUCGUAUGAGAAAUUAUAUUAUAUAUGGAUCAACGUGUACAUUAUGUAGUAGUGUAAAAUAUGUUUGAAAUAAAAAAUAAUUGAAUGAACAACACAAAAUGAAAAGGAAAAAUAAACCAUAAACCAUAAACCCCAACAAAAAACACAAAAUCCUUAGUCCUGACUGGUGUCACCAACCGGGACUAAAGGUCCUCCAGCCCCCACCACACACUCACGGCAAUGUGGACGGACUUUAGUCCCCGGUUGUGGCCAACCGGGACUAAAGGGUGGGGGCCUUUAGUCCUGGUUGGUGACCCGGGACUAAAGGUUGUUCCCAACCGGGACUAAAUCCCCGUUCUCCACUAGUGGUUAUGGGCCUAAGAAAAGGCAUGCCUGCAGCGACUUGGGACUUUGUAUUUGUCUUAUGCUCAUAACAAUUUCAGCUAGUAUAGCCUCCAAGGGUCGGGUCAUUAUGCAAUAAUGAGCAGGGACUUUGCAGAUCUAAUUAUGUAAUCUUGAGCAGCAAUGUGUAGCCCCAAAUGACCGAGUUAUUAUGAGAUGAUGAGCCAGUUCUUCCUUGAAUCCAUACUUGAAUAAAGAGUGACUUGUAGCCCCCAAGAGCUGGCUUAUCUCUUUGAGUUAGCAGGUCUACUGAUAAUGUGAUGAUUUGAAAAACAAUUUGCAUUAGCUCCCAAGUGUCAUGGUGCAUGCUUGCAGUGACAUGUGACUUUCAUACUUUGAUGUCAUGUUGAUUUGAAUGAAUCCUUGACCGUGGUUGUAAUGUAACUCAGUACGAAUAUCCUGGAAUAAUUCCUUUGUCUUUGAAAUGAAAUCCCUGCUCGUGGUUGCGGUGCAACCCAACAAAUAUAUGUUUGAGAAAUCCAUAAGCGUUGUAGUUUACUAUAGAGCACAAAUUGAAAAAAUCCAAGAGUUGUUCAAUUAGAUGACCCAACAUUAUAUGUGAUAUGGCAGAUCUUUCAAAAAUAGUCAAUUCUUCUGAGCUCGCUUAACCCCCCCCCCAAUCAUUUAACACUGGUUAUGAUAAACCAUGAUGAAGAUCCAGCCAUAUUGGCUAUCAAAGAUCUAUUUGCUCCUGCAGAAGUAUAUGCUUUGACCUAGUUUGAAGACCGACAUGAUAUGUAUGUAUGAAGUAUGAUGCAUGAUGCAAUGCCUGAUUAUGUAUGUAUAUGAUAAUAGAAUAUAAAGUGCUAGCUUUUGAGGCAUGACAUAAAGACCCGCUUUCGAGGCUCGAGUCUUGCUUCAAUGAAAGCGGAUAUGAAAACCCAUAAGGAUAAAAACUUUUAAUAAGCCGACUCAAUGCGAUUUGGUGAUUUAGAUUGGCUGAUCAGGCUCAAGUCAUGCUUCAGUGAAGCGGGUAUGUGAACCUAUGGUUUCUCCUUUUCCAUAUGCCGGCUCUCACAUGACGCACUCGAUGUUUUAACUUUGGCAAGUUCAGGGUCCACAAUGGAUUGACUUGUCAAGAGUACACGGGGUCUUUUAAUAGGAGUCACACAAACAUACAGUCAGGUCUAACCAUCGUAUAGCGGUAUUUUUUUGUAGACCAAGAGGGUGAGAAAGCUAAACUCAGUGAGUUGUAAGCUCCCAAGUGACCCAUGAUCAGGGAAAAGCUCAGCCUAAGAUUACAGGAGACAAUGCUACAACUGCAAAACAUCUGGGGUUCAGAUAAAGUCGGCUUGAUUCCACUAAUCACAAUUGGCGCCUAUGUUUCAACCAUGCAGCAUGGCAACCGGUCCUCUUUGGCUUUAUAGCACCUAUGUUUGAUCAGUAGCAUCAUGGUGGCUCGUCCUCUUGAGCGAUUUUUAAAUCACCCGCCAAUGAGGCAGGACACCCAUGUUUGAACGGUCGCAUCAUGGCGGCUCGUCCUCUUGGGCGACUUUGAAAUCUCCAGCCAAUGAGGCAGGGCACCCAUGUUUGAACGGCCGCAUCAUGACGUCUCAUCCUCUUGAGCGACUUUAAAUUACCCGCCAAUGAGGCAGCAACCCCGGGACCGGGUUAUCUUUCAUGUAAUGAUCCGGGGUUCUUGUAUUAUUCACCCCGGUUGAAUCUGCCGAGCCAUGUCUUUGUAGCCCUUGAGUCUUGGGUCAACUCAAGAAGGCGGCUUGAGAGUCUCCAUGCUUGAGUGUGGCAUAAGCCGGCAUAAGGUUGACGGUUGAACGAUGGAUUUUAUCCAAACUAGAGACGUCAUAGUGAGCUGAUGAUCUUUGUGACGCUCAUCAUAUGUCUUUGGCAAAUAUCGUGGCCAAAUUGAGUGCAUAUGCCUCUUUGGACCAUGCAUUAUACUUUAUGUAGUCUGGAUCUCUUGGCUCCUCCAGGGCCAUUUUUCUUUUUCUCCACCGCUUGCUUGGAAUUGCUGGCUCAAUGAUGGCCGGCUCAAAUUGUAGCUUCAUCAGGGAUGUUUCCUUCAUGACAAGCUUUUCUAUUUAUUUUGAUAUGUUGAAGUAGAUAGUAUUGACCAAUGCGCCUAUCCAUUGAGCAACUCGGCGCGAGUGGGAGUUUGUCCGUGUUUUGACGAUGUUGUGUAAGACAUUAAUGUCAUUUUGUUUUUUUGCUCCAAUGUUGUUGGAGGAGACGAACCGUGUGGGCAGUUUGCAUGCUUCAGUUGGACGACUCAUAUAAGCGAGCGCGACACCAGCGUGUUGAUGUAGACCAGACCACAGGAACGUCGUCUUUCACACGUCUAUUGGGCGGCUCGUAUAGGCGAGCACUGCACCGGUAUGUUGAUGUGGACCUGGCCGUAGGGACGAGAGCUUGCGCGCGUUUGUUGGGUGGCUCGCAUAGGCGAGCACUACACCGGUAUAUGCGCCCCCUAUCAUGUUGAUGUGGAGGUCAGCCGCAGCGUUUGAACUCACGAUCGGGCUCCAUUAGAGCGAGGGAGCUAGCCACUGCGAUCGCUUCAUGAUCGUCUGUGGCGUUGUAAGCCAGCGGGGACGACGAGUCGGCCGCAUCAUUUGUGAGCCGAUGCAAAUGGCGAGUUGGCCACAUCAUUUAUGAGCCGGCUCGGACAGCGAGUUAAUCGCGGUGAGUUGAUGUAGACCAGGCUGUGGUGACGGCGAUUCGCGCGUAUCCUUCGAGCAGAUAUCUUUCUUCAGAUUGGAUAGAUUGCUCGAUGUCUUAUAGAUGCCAUGAGUUGAUAAACCAGUGUACAUAGUAGUGUAAAACGGUAUAAAAAGUCUUGGUAAAAUUUAAUUUACGCGGAAUAAAGAAUUAUAAUACAAUAACACCUGAUAGUUUUGGGUGGACGAAGCCAUUGAAGAAGAGAAAAAACCAGAUCACCUUUCUUUUUUAUUCACG